This 4345-nucleotide long non-coding RNA is filed under the name Erythranthe guttata (spotted monkey flower). Its description in RNAcentral is "long non-coding RNA (EGUT_LNC001750)". Lineage: Eukaryota; Viridiplantae; Streptophyta; Magnoliopsida; Lamiales; Phrymaceae. The record is from RNAcentral.
AUCUCCACCUAUUCUACCUUACACAUUGGCUAAAAGAAAGAACACCUUUUCUCCGAGGCUCAAAUCAAGGUUCUAAGGAUAAUUUCGAUAAAAAAAAAAGGUCGGCUUGAAGGGCUCAAACGGUUCAAAGAAGGCCCAAAUCAUAUCCCAAAUCACUCACUACUCAAUACUUCGUAUCAUAAAAUUCCUAAGGUGAGUCUAAAAACCGAACAUAGCAUGAUCUAGCACAAAUUAAUUCCAAAUUUAAAAUACAAAACAUUCAACCAAAGCAAUGCACAAAAUGUGAUUCCUAGCAAUAAUUUGCGUCUAAGUUUCGUUGAAUCGAAAGCUAAACAAACAUCAAAUCCUUAUCACACAAAACAAGCAAUUUCAUCAUCAAACAUUGACCAUCUCUCAUCAUCAUAAAUCAUCGAUGCAUUCGACUCAAGCAAUUUUUUUUUUUUUUUUUUUUUUAUAAUCCGGAAAAAAAUAACGAUAAAAGCAAUAAAAACAAUAAAAACAAAUAAAGCCUAAUGCAUGCAAACUAAAACAAAUAAGCAUAAACAUAUGUUUUUCACCCCCAAAUUUAAAAUUUUCGUUGCCCUCAACGAAAUUAGCACAAAGUUUAAGGAUAGAAAACACCUGAUGUAGUCGGAGUCGAUGUCUUCGGGGUGUGAGAAUUUGUGGGAAAUAAAUUUGAUUUUCCUCUUGCGAAGAUGCCCUCUCUGUCUCUCGGAUGACCGUGCCGAUCGCAAUUCCGACCUUAAAAAUAAGAAAUCAAAUAAAUUAAUUAGAAUGCAUGCCUAUGAAAAUAAAAAUAAAACAUAAAAUUGAAGAAAAAUAUAAAAAACAGCAAAGCUCGGGUUGCCUCCCGAGAAGCGCUAAGUUUAAAGUCUUCAGCCAGACUUUGCUUCUUGAAAUUGUUAUGUCCAAUCCAAAGCCUUGUAGAUUGCGCAUCCAUCCAUGAGCUUUGUCACUUCAAUUGCAACCGAUACAGGGAUAGGAUUGCAAUAUGUCAGGGUCCACUUUAGCUUGUAAUCUUUCUUGGUUGUAAUCAAUCGGUACGAAGCCAAGAUGGGAUCUUCAUCACCCGCUCCCUCAAAUUGGUACACAAAAAUCUCACGUCCGCGUAUAACCUCCACUUCAAACACAUUCGUCUUCUCAUCAACCUCUAUUGAUGCCUUCAAAGCCACGUCAUGAACAACAAUAAUAUCCUCAAUUUGAAUAUUUGCACUAACCACAUCCAUCUCCUUCUUCUCUUGUUCCGAGAUAUCUUUGGAGUUUAGCUCAAAUUGCAUUAUUGUCAGAUUCAUCAUCCUUAAGCGUCUUCGUUAUUUCUUUUUCCCUCUCAUCGACACUAUUUUCUAGGUCUAAAGGAUUUUUUUCACCGCAAAUUUCAGACGGAUUUUCUUUGUUGCAACCAUUCUCGAUAUUAUCUGAAAUAUUUUCAAGAGACCUUUGGCGCUUGAAUUCUUCCAAUUGUAACUCCAGUCUUCGGAUAGAUGCUUGAGUGGAUUUCAUAAAUUCUUCAAGGACGGAGUUCAAAUAACACUCUUGAACAGUGGGUUCUCGUGGCGUGUUGGUGUACGUGUUCCAAUAACCACCGUUGGUGUUAUCUAUGAAAUUAUUUGCUCUCGGUGCAUACCAACAUUGGUUAGUGUAAUGAUCUCCACCACAUAUUGAACAAAGUGACGGCAUAUCAUAGGUAUUUUGGAGGUAUUCGCCAGACGGAAGCCGUUCAUAUCCCGUUUGAGGUGCGCAACCUGACAUGUAACCAAAGAAAAAAAUAUAUAUUAAAAAAAAAAUUAAAACGAAAAGAUAAAAUUCAAAAAAAAAAAAAAAAUUGGGUGAAUCGUGAAAAUUGUUCAAAUUUAGAGCUAGAAUAAAAUAAAUAAUUAAAAUAUUCCCCGGCAACGGCGCCAAAAACUUGUUGGCCGAAAACACGCAAGUGCACGUAUCGUACAAGUAAUAUAGUGGACAAUUAAGUCAGGAUAUCGAACCCACAGGGAAUAUUUAAUUACUUAAUCCUAGACGCUAAAUUCUACCAAUUAUUAUCAAGCCCACCCUACACAGUCGAGUUUUGAGAGAAUCAACUAAAUUAAACUAAAUUAAAAGCAAGCAAAAACAAGAAAGCAAUUUAAAACGAAGAUUUAAUCAAGAUAAGCAAGCCUAGGAUUUUAUUCUUCCCCCUAUGUGAUUAUUACUCCCCCAAUUCCUUCAAUUAUGCAAGCAAUUAAUCCGGAUUAUUAACCUGGGAUGCUAAAAUAAUCAUAACCCGCUUCCGCGUGUAUUACGAUUUUAAUACGUACUCUAGAUUCAAUUACUAUAUUCCUAUGCAAUUAAUUCUAGAACACAGCAUUAAGCACAAAUCUCAAUAAUGGCUACCUAAGAGAUUAACUAUAUUCCUAUGUUAAUACCACAAAGGCUCUUCUACCACAGUUCUAAUUAUUAACCCGAUCUUCCGAUUCAUGCGAUUAACAAUAACAUAAAAGCACAUAAGUUGAUCAAGUUCAUGCACUUAAUAAAACAAGUAGAAGAAAUAAUCCGGAAUUAAAACUUGCAUAAAAUCAUAGAAAAGGGUUCAUAAAUCCCACAUAGGGUUCAAAAUAAAAUCCUAGAAAUAAAGACUUAGCUACUCGUAGUUCUUAUGAUAAAGAAAAUAAAAUAAAUAAAUUAAAUAAGAAAAACUAUGCUUGAAUCUUCGUUGAUCUUCUUUGCUCUUGAAUUUGCGUCCAAAGAUUGAUCCCUAAUUGUGUGCUUGACUUGGUCUUAUAUAGGGUGGAAAACUUGGGGAAGAAGGUAGUUUCCUUGUGCAAUUAGGAUUCCUUUACUGCGUUUUUUCGUCAUCUCGGACGGCCGUCCCGAAUUUUGUACUAAAACUCGGACGACCGUCUCACAACCAGACACUGCUUCUGGUUCUCAGACGGGGGUCCCAGAAUUUGCACUAAAACUCGGACGGGGUCCGAGCUUUAAAUCUUCAGAAUUUUGAUUUUUUCACUUUUGGCCCAUAUUUUCUCCAAAAUUGCAGUUUUGACCCCAUACUUUUCCAAUUCUUCAAUUUGUACCUAAAAUACAAUAAAUCAACUUUUUAAGUACCAAUUAUCGUUAAAACACACCAAAAGCUCAAAUAAAAAGGUACGAUAAAGUGUAAAAAUAUACACUUAACACACCCCCAAACUUGAACUUUUGCUUGUCCUCAAGCAAAAUCUACCAAUAAGCAAAUAACUCAACUAUAACAUCUCAUCACAUAGAUCAAUGAUCAACUUCACGUUUUCAGAACUUGUAAUUAUAAUGACAAUUCUUAGGCAUUCGCAAGCUCAAAAUUCAACAACACUUAGUCACUCGCCAUUACAAAAAACCACAAUUCAUACAAUUGCUUCAAGCAUCCAAUAUUUGCAAAUUAAAGAUAGAAAUAAUUUAUACUUACAUGCAUAUGCUUGACUCAAAAUACUCACCAAAUUAUUCUAGUCUACUAAUAUCGAACAUUAAGCUAUUGGGAUCAUUGGGGCUUUGUGGCUUUCAAUUGUUAGGCUCUUUGGUUCGAGGUAGGAAAUAUGGGUAUGUGUGGCUAUUCUUCUUGAAUUUAGGUGAUUUCGCCAAAAUUUGAAAGAUAGGCGUUUGAUACAAUGAAUUCACCUCUAUGGACUUUAAUAAACUCGAUUUUAAAAAGUUCAAAAGUCUCCACUUUUGCUUUUGAGGCAAUGGAUCGAGUUUUCAAAAAAUAAUUUAACAACUAGUCCUUAUUUCUCCCUUCUAGUCUCUUCUUCUUCUUCUUCUCUUUCUUUUUUUUUUUUUUUUUUUUAUAUAUAUUUAUAUAGAAGCAUAAUUAUUUGUCUUCUUUUUUUUUUUCUUUUUUUUUUUCUUUUUUUUUUCGAAGAAGAAGAAGGACCUUAUAAAAUUUUUCGACCGAACUCCAAGGGGUAAUUUUUCAAGAAUCUCCACCUAUUCUACCUUACACAUUGGCUAAAAGAAAGAACACCUUUUCUCCGAGGCUCAAAUCAAGGUUCUAAGGAUAAUUUCGAUAAAAAAAAAGGUCGGCUUGAAGGGCUCAAACGGUUCAAAGAAGGCCCAAAUCAUAUCCCAAAUCACUCACUACUCAAUACUUCGUAUCAUAAAAUUCCUAAGGUGAGUCUAAAAACCGAACAUAGCAUGAUCUAGCACAAAUUAAUUCCAAAUUUAAUAUACAAAACAUUCAACCAAAGCAAUGCACAAAAUGUGAUUCCUAGCAAUAAUUUGCUUCUAAGUUCCGUUGAAUCGAAAGCUAAACAAACAUCAAAUCCUUAUCACACAAAACAAGCAAUUUCAUCAUCAAACAUUGACCAUCUCUCAUCAUCAUAAAUCAUCGAUGCAUUCGACUCAAGCAAUU